RNAcentral lists this ribosomal RNA (2901 nucleotides) under Escherichia coli DEC6A. Its description in RNAcentral is "bacterial LSU rRNA". It matches the Rfam family "Bacterial large subunit ribosomal RNA". Lineage: Bacteria; Pseudomonadati; Pseudomonadota; Gammaproteobacteria; Enterobacterales; Enterobacteriaceae. The record is from RNAcentral.
UUAAGCGACUAAGCGUACACGGUGGAUGCCCUGGCAGUCAGAGGCGAUGAAGGACGUGCUAAUCUGCGAUAAGCGUCGGUAAGGUGAUAUGAACCGUUAUAACCGGCGAUUUCCGAAUGGGGAAACCCAGUGUGUUUCGACACACUAUCAUUAACUGAAUCCAUAGGUUAAUGAGGCGAACCGGGGGAACUGAAACAUCUAAGUACCCCGAGGAAAAGAAAUCAACCGAGAUUCCCCCAGUAGCGGCGAGCGAACGGGGAGCAGCCCAGAGCCUGAAUCAGUAUGUGUGUUAGUGGAAGCGUCUGGAAAGGCGCGCGAUACAGGGUGACAGCCCCGUACACAAAAAUGCACAUGCUGUGAGCUCGAUGAGUAGGGCGGGACACGUGGUAUCCUGUCUGAAUAUGGGGGGACCAUCCUCCAAGGCUAAAUACUCCUGACUGACCGAUAGUGAACCAGUACCGUGAGGGAAAGGCGAAAAGAACCCCGGCGAGGGGAGUGAAAAAGAACCUGAAACCGUGUACGUACAAGCAGUGGGAGCACGCUUAGGCGUGUGACUGCGUACCUUUUGUAUAAUGGGUCAGCGACUUAUAUUCUGUAGCAAGGUUAACCGAAUAGGGGAGCCGAAGGGAAACCGAGUCUUAACUGGGCGUUAAGUUGCAGGGUAUAGACCCGAAACCCGGUGAUCUAGCCAUGGGCAGGUUGAAGGUUGGGUAACACUAACUGGAGGACCGAACCGACUAAUGUUGAAAAAUUAGCGGAUGACUUGUGGCUGGGGGUGAAAGGCCAAUCAAACCGGGAGAUAGCUGGUUCUCCCCGAAAGCUAUUUAGGUAGCGCCUCGUGAAUUCAUCUCCGGGGGUAGAGCACUGUUUCGGCAAGGGGGUCAUCCCGACUUACCAACCCGAUGCAAACUGCGAAUACCGGAGAAUGUUAUCACGGGAGACACACGGCGGGUGCUAACGUCCGUCGUGAAGAGGGAAACAACCCAGACCGCCAGCUAAGGUCCCAAAGUCAUGGUUAAGUGGGAAACGAUGUGGGAAGGCCCAGACAGCCAGGAUGUUGGCUUAGAAGCAGCCAUCAUUUAAAGAAAGCGUAAUAGCUCACUGGUCGAGUCGGCCUGCGCGGAAGAUGUAACGGGGCUAAACCAUGCACCGAAGCUGCGGCAGCGACACUAUGUGUUGUUGGGUAGGGGAGCGUUCUGUAAGCCUGCGAAGGUGUGCUGUGAGGCAUGCUGGAGGUAUCAGAAGUGCGAAUGCUGACAUAAGUAACGAUAAAGCGGGUGAAAAGCCCGCUCGCCGGAAGACCAAGGGUUCCUGUCCAACGUUAAUCGGGGCAGGGUGAGUCGACCCCUAAGGCGAGGCCGAAAGGCGUAGUCGAUGGGAAACAGGUUAAUAUUCCUGUACUUGGUGUUACUGCGAAGGGGGGACGGAGAAGGCUAUGUUGGCCGGGCGACGGUUGUCCCGGUUUAAGCGUGUAGGCUGGUUUUCCAGGCAAAUCCGGAAAAUCAAGGCUGAGGCGUGAUGACGAGGCACUACGGUGCUGAAGCAACAAAUGCCCUGCUUCCAGGAAAAGCCUCUAAGCAUCAGGUAACAUCAAAUCGUACCCCAAACCGACACAGGUGGUCAGGUAGAGAAUACCAAGGCGCUUGAGAGAACUCGGGUGAAGGAACUAGGCAAAAUGGUGCCGUAACUUCGGGAGAAGGCACGCUGAUAUGUAGGUGAAGCGACUUGCUCGUGGAGCUGAAAUCAGUCGAAGAUACCAGCUGGCUGCAACUGUUUAUUAAAAACACAGCACUGUGCAAACACGAAAGUGGACGUAUACGGUGUGACGCCUGCCCGGUGCCGGAAGGUUAAUUGAUGGGGUCAGCGCAAGCGAAGCUCUUGAUCGAAGCCCCGGUAAACGGCGGCCGUAACUAUAACGGUCCUAAGGUAGCGAAAUUCCUUGUCGGGUAAGUUCCGACCUGCACGAAUGGCGUAAUGAUGGCCAGGCUGUCUCCACCCGAGACUCAGUGAAAUUGAACUCGCUGUGAAGAUGCAGUGUACCCGCGGCAAGACGGAAAGACCCCGUGAACCUUUACUAUAGCUUGACACUGAACAUUGAGCCUUGAUGUGUAGGAUAGGUGGGAGGCUUUGAAGUGUGGACGCCAGUCUGCAUGGAGCCGACCUUGAAAUACCACCCUUUAAUGUUUGAUGUUCUAACGUUGACCCGUAAUCCGGGUUGCGGACAGUGUCUGGUGGGUAGUUUGACUGGGGCGGUCUCCUCCUAAAGAGUAACGGAGGAGCACGAAGGUUGGCUAAUCCUGGUCGGACAUCAGGAGGUUAGUGCAAUGGCAUAAGCCAGCUUGACUGCGAGCGUGACGGCGCGAGCAGGUGCGAAAGCAGGUCAUAGUGAUCAGGUGGUUCUGAAUGGAAGGGCCAUCGCUCAACGGAUAAAAGGUACUCCGGGGAUAACAGGCUGAUACCGCCCAAGAGUUCAUAUCGACGGCGGUGUUUGGCACCUCGAUGUCGGCUCAUCACAUCCUGGGGCUGAAGUAGGUCCCAAGGGUAUGGCUGUUCGCCAUUUAAAGUGGUACGCGAGCUGGGUUUAGAACGUCGUGAGACAGUUCGGUCCCUAUCUGCCGUGGGCGCUGGAGAACUGAGGGGGGCUGCUCCUAGUUCGAGAGGACCGGAGUGGACGCAUCACCGGUGUUCGGGUUGUCAUGCCAAUGGCACUGCCCGGUAGCUAAAUGCGGAAGAGAUAAGUGCUGAAAGCAUCUAAGCACGAAACUUGCCCCGAGAUGAGUUCUCCCUGACCCUUUAAGGGUCCUGAAGGAACGUUGAAGACGACGACGUUGAUAGGCCGGGUGUGUAAGCGCAGCGAUGCGUUGAGCUAACCGGUACUAAUGAACCGUGAGGCUUAACCUU